UACGUAGGUGGCAAGCGGUAUCCGGAAUUAUUGGGCGUAAAGCGCGCGCAGGCGGUUUCUUAAGUCUGAUGUGAAAGCCCACGGCUCAACCGUGGAGGGUCAUUGGAAACUGGGGAACUUGAGUGCAGAAGAGAAAAGCGGAAUUCCACGUGUAGCGGUGAAAUGCGUAGAGAUGUGGAGGAACACCAGUGGCGAAGGCGGCUUUUUGGUCUGUAACUGACGCUGAGGCGCGAAAGCGUGGGGAGCAAACAGG
RNAcentral lists this ribosomal RNA (253 nucleotides) under uncultured bacterium. Its description in RNAcentral is "partial 16S ribosomal RNA". It matches the Rfam family "Bacterial small subunit ribosomal RNA", at positions 524 to 776 of the family's 1533-position model. The record is from RNAcentral.